RNAcentral lists this ribosomal RNA (460 nucleotides) under uncultured bacterium. RNAcentral's name for it is "partial 16S ribosomal RNA". It matches the Rfam family "Bacterial small subunit ribosomal RNA", at positions 338 to 795 of the family's 1533-position model. The record is from RNAcentral.
CCUACGGGAGGCAGCAGUGAGGAAUAUUGGUCAAUGGACGAGAGUCUGAACCAGCCAAGUAGCGUGAAGGAUGACUGCCCUAUGGGUUGUAAACUUCUUUUAUAAAGGAAUAAAACGAGGCACGUGUGCCUUUUUGCAUGUACUUUAUGAAUAAGGAUCGGCUAACUCCGUGCCAGCAGCCGCGGUAAUACGGAGGAUCCGAGCGUUAUCCGGAUUUAUUGGGUUUAAAGGGAGCGUAGAUGGGUUGUUAAGUCAGUUGUGAAAGUUUGCGGCUCAACCGUGAAAUUGCAAUUGGUACUGGCAGUCGUGAGUACAGUUGAGGUAGGCGGAAUUCGUGGUGUAGCGGUGAAAUGCUUAGAUAUCACGAAGAACCCCGAUUGCGAAGGCAGCUUACUAAACUGUGACUGACAUUGAUGCUCGAAAGUGUGGGUAUCAAACAGGAUUAGAUACCCCUGUAGUC